GACGAACGCUGGCGGCGUGCUUAAUACAUGCAAGUCGAACGGAAAGGCCCUGCUUUUGUUGGUUGCUCGAUUGGCGAACGGGUGAGUAACACGUGAGUAACCUGCCCUUGUCUUUCGGAUAACUUCUCGAAACUGGGGCUAAUACCGGAUAUGAUCUCCUGCUGCAUGUUGUGGGUUGGAAAGUUUCGGCGGUUGGGGAUGGACUCGCGGCUUAUCAGCUUGUUUGUGUGGUAGUGGCUUACCAAGGCUUUGACGGGUAGCCGGCCUGAGAGGGUGACCGGCCACAUUGGGACUGAGAGACGGCCCAGACUCCUACGGGAGGCAGCAGUGGGGAAUAUUGCAGAAUGGGCGGAAGCCUGAUGCAGCAACGCCGCGAGCGGGAUGACGGCCUUCGGGUUGUAAACAGCUUUCGCCGGUGACGAAGAGUGAGUGACGGUAAUGGGUAAAGAAGCAACGGCUAACUACGUG
Molecule: ribosomal RNA, 468 nt
Filed under: uncultured bacterium
Lineage: Bacteria
Description: partial 16S ribosomal RNA
Rfam family: Bacterial small subunit ribosomal RNA
Source: RNAcentral